RNAcentral lists this ribosomal RNA (610 nucleotides) under Crenosoma petrowi. Its description in RNAcentral is "partial large subunit ribosomal RNA". It matches the Rfam family "Eukaryotic large subunit ribosomal RNA", at positions 99 to 654 of the family's 3401-position model. Lineage: Eukaryota; Metazoa; Nematoda; Chromadorea; Rhabditida; Crenosomatidae. The record is from RNAcentral.
CUGGGAAAGCCCAGCGCUGAAUCUUUCGAUGUUACAUCGUAAGAAAUGUAGCGUAUAGGUGUAGUUAUCGGUUUGUUUGGCGUAUCCAAAGUUCCUUUGAUAGGGGCCAUAUUCCAGAGAGGGUGCGAGACCUGUGCGGAUAGCGGAACAUGCCGUAUGAUUAUACCUUGGAGUCGGGUUGCUUGAAAGUGCAGCCUUAAGUGGGUGAUAAACUUCAUCUAAGGCUAAAUACGGACGCGAAUUCGAUAGCAAACAAGUACUGUGAAGGAAAGUUGCAAAGAACUUUGAAGAGAGAGUUCAAGAGAACGUGAAAUCGUUGAAGUGGAACCGGAGAGAGUUGACGUAGUAUGGUGGAUAAGUAUUGCAAGAAUCGCUUCAAAAAAUGUGAACGUGAUCGAGCAGUAUGUAUGUCACCAAUGACUGCGCUGACAGCAUCGACUACACGCUCUGAACCGUGUUGACAUGUUGCCUACUCUAGUAUAUAGAGUGGUGUCUUGUGUUACGUGGUGAAGUUUGUUGUUAUGUUGAUGUUGAUACGAGGAGCAUAAUUAUACGACGAGUAUUAAUUAUGUGUGUCAUGGUAAAAGUCGACCACCUCUCCAACCCGUCU